Molecule: long non-coding RNA, 370 nt
Filed under: Zea mays
Lineage: Eukaryota; Viridiplantae; Streptophyta; Magnoliopsida; Poales; Poaceae
Description: long non-coding RNA (ZMAY_LNC002600)
Source: RNAcentral
GGACCCCGUGUUGGAGUGGUGGCGCCGGUGGCUGUACUUCCACGAGAAGUAGGGCACCAGCAGCGCCGAGUGCAGCGCCAGGCCGACGGCGUCGUCCAGGAGCGCGUGGUCGGAGAAGGCGUGGUGGCCGCACUCGUGCGCGAUCACCCACACGCCCGUGCACACGCACCCCUGGGCCACCCAGUACAGCGGCCAGGCCGCGUAGCGGAGCGGGCAGGGUAGCGCCGGUAUCACGGCCACCGCGAGGUAGAGGAGCGCCGCGGCGAGCGACAGGUCGUGGGCCACGUACGAGAAGGACCUCAGCACGGAGCGCUCGAAGCAGUGCGGCGGGAUCGCCUUCUUGAUCUGCCCCAACGUGAACGGCGGCUUC